This 579-nucleotide ribosomal RNA is filed under the name uncultured bacterium. Its description in RNAcentral is "bacterial SSU rRNA". It matches the Rfam family "Bacterial small subunit ribosomal RNA", at positions 102 to 668 of the family's 1533-position model. The record is from RNAcentral.
ACGGGUGAGUAACACGUAGGCAACCUGCCCUCAAGCUUGGGACAACUACCGGAAACGGUAGCUAAUACCGAAUACUUGUUUUCUUCGCCUGAAGGAAACUGGAAAGACGGAGCAAUCUGUCACUUGAGGAUGGGCCUGCGGCGCAUUAGCUAGUUGGUGAGGUAACGGCUCACCAAGGCGACGAUGCGUAGCCGACCUGAGAGGGUGAUCGGCCACACUGGGACUGAGACACGGCCCAGACUCCUACGGGAGGCAGCAGUAGGGAAUCUUCCGCAAUGGGCGAAAGCCUGACGGAGCAAUGCCGCGUGAGUGAUGAAGGUUUUCGGAUCGUAAAGCUCUGUUGCCAGGGAAGAACGCUUAGGAGAGUAACUGCUCUUGAGGUGACGGUACCUGAGAAGAAAGCCCCGGCUAACUACGUGCCAGCAGCCGCGGUAAUACGUAGGGGGCAAGCGUUGUCCGGAAUUAUUGGGCGUAAAGCGCGCGCAGGCGGUCAUUUAAGUCUGGUGUUUAAUCCCGGGGCUCAACCCCGGAUCGCACUGGAAACUGGGUGACUUGAGUGCAGAAGAGGAGAGUGGAAUU